AAAAUGAUGAUGAUGAUGAUAAUGACAUGUUUCCAGUGGAAUAUGCAAGAGAAGCAGAUGUGUGUGUCUGUGUAUGCAGAUUUCAGUCUUCCUCUGCCCGGGAGUACCAGAAUAAACAUAUUCCCUGAGCUCAA
Molecule: long non-coding RNA, 134 nt
Organism: Pantherophis guttatus
Lineage: Eukaryota; Metazoa; Chordata; Lepidosauria; Squamata; Colubridae
Source: RefSeq, a predicted model, not a curated record